Molecule: ribosomal RNA, 253 nt
Filed under: uncultured Flavobacteriia bacterium
Lineage: Bacteria; Pseudomonadati; Bacteroidota; Flavobacteriia
Description: partial 16S ribosomal RNA
Rfam family: Bacterial small subunit ribosomal RNA
Source: RNAcentral
UACGGAGGGUCCAAGCGUUAUCCGGAUUUAUUGGGUUUAAAGGGUCCGUAGGCGGAAAAAUAAGUCAGUGGUGAAAUCCUACAGCUUAACUGUAGAACUGCCAUUGAUACUGUUUUUCUUGAGUAUAAUUGAAGUGGGCGGAAUGUGUCAUGUAGCGGUGAAAUGCAUAGAUAUGACACAGAACACCGAUUGCGAAGGCAGCUCACUAAACUAUAACUGACGCUCAUGGACGAAAGCGUGGGGAGCAAACAGG